Molecule: ribosomal RNA, 551 nt
Filed under: uncultured Bacillus sp.
Lineage: Bacteria; Bacillati; Bacillota; Bacilli; Caryophanales; Bacillaceae
Description: bacterial SSU rRNA
Rfam family: Bacterial small subunit ribosomal RNA
Source: RNAcentral
UAGGGAAUCUUCCGCAAUGGACGAAAGUCUGACGGAGCAACGCCGCGUGAGUGAUGAAGGUUUUCGGAUCGUAAAGCUCUGUUGUUAGGGAAGAACAAGUGCCGUUUGAAUAAGGCGGCACCUUGACGGUACCUAACCAGAAAGCCACGGCUAACUACGUGCCAGCAGCCGCGGUAAUACGUAGGUGGCAAGCGUUGUCCGGAAUUAUUGGGCGUAAAGCGCGCGCAGGCGGUCUCUUAAGUCUGAUGUGAAAGCCCACGGCUCAACCGUGGAGGGUCAUUGGAAACUGGGAGACUUGAGUACAGAAGAGGAGAGUGGAAUUCCACGUGUAGCGGUGAAAUGCGUAGAUAUGUGGAGGAACACCAGUGGCGAAGGCGACUCUCUGGUCUGUAACUGACGCUGAGGCGCGAAAGCGUGGGGAGCAAACAGGAUUAGAUACCCUGGUAGUCCACGCCGUAAACGAUGAGUGCUAGGUGUUAGGGGUUUCGAUGCCCUUAGUGCCGAAGUUAACACAUUAAGCACUCCGCCUGGGGAGUACGACCGCAAGGUUG